GUGCAGCAGGCGCGAAACCUUCGCAAUGCGGGAAACCGCGACGAGGGGACUCCCAGUGCCUACGCUCAGCGUAGGCUGUUCCCGAGCCUAGAAAGCUCGGGGAGUAAGGGCUGGGUAAGACGGGUGCCAGCCGCCGCGGUAAUACCCGCAGCCCGAGUGGUGGCCACUAUUAUUGGGCCUAAAGCGUCCGUAGCCGGCCCGGUAAAUGCCUGGGUAAAUCGUGAGGCCUAACCUCACGAAUUCCGGGUAGACUGCCGGGCUAGGGACCGGAGGAGGGAGAGGGGUACUCCGAGGGGUAGGGGUGAAAUCCUGUAAUCCCUGGAGGACCACCGGUGGCGAAGGCGCUCUCCUAGGACGGGUCCGACGGUGAGGGACGAAAGCCAGGGGAGCGAACCGGAUUAGAUACCCCGUAGU
This 414-nucleotide ribosomal RNA is filed under the name uncultured microorganism. Its description in RNAcentral is "bacterial SSU rRNA". It matches the Rfam family "Archaeal small subunit ribosomal RNA", at positions 330 to 745 of the family's 1478-position model. The record is from RNAcentral.